UGCCAGCCGCCGCGGUAAUACGGAGGGUGCGAGCGUUAAUCGGAAUUACUGGGCGUAAAGCGCGCGUAGGCGGUUGUUUAAGUCGGAUGUGAAAGCCCCGGGCUCAACCUGGGAACUGCAUUCGAUACUGGCCAACUAGAGUGCGAGAGAGGGAGGUAGAAUUCCACGUGUAGCGGUGAAAUGCGUAGAUAUGUGGAGGAAUACCGGUGGCGAAGGCGGCUAACUGGCUCGGUACUGACGCUGAGAUGCGAAAGCGUGGGGAGCAAACAGGAUUAGAUA
This 279-nucleotide ribosomal RNA is filed under the name uncultured bacterium. RNAcentral's name for it is "partial 16S ribosomal RNA". It matches the Rfam family "Bacterial small subunit ribosomal RNA", at positions 506 to 784 of the family's 1533-position model. The record is from RNAcentral.